GACCUUCGCGCCGGAAGCUCAACUGAGGCGGAAGACAGAGAAUGAAAGCCGCCUCCUGAAGCCAGAAAGGCGCAUGCGCCGCAGUGAAAGCGCUGCCCCCUAGCGACUGGAGGAUAGCCGAGCGUUCCCACGGGGCUGGUUACUACUCUCCAGGUAGGAAGUCUAGGCUGUUAGUGUAAGCUGGCUUCAAAAGGGUGGUGACACAGAGCCUCGUUACUUCAGCACCGGCGUGUAAUGACUGACCAGCCCUGGAAUCUGUCGCCCACCUGUUGUGGACUGGAGCACGCAAACAAUCCCUUUAUCUCUUGGAACAGACGAGCACACCUGGCCGACUCCAGCGGCCCAUUGGGUGCGGUGGGUUUGGGCAUGAGAUUACAGAACUUGUAUUGGCCCUUCCUGAGAGGUCAGCAACCUUCCAGGGCUUUCCUGCAAUUUCCGGCAUUGGACACAUAUGUCCUCCGACCAGUGUUUUCUCGCCCAGAGCUCCUAAUUUCCAUUGGGCUUUACAGGUAAUGUUCAUCCAAAUGAGGCUAACCCCUGCAUCUCCCUGCCCACACUCUCAGGACUACAGAUCCUGAGUCCUAUUGACCUCCUUUUCAGGCCUCAUAGAGACUGACCAUGGAGCACCCAGAUUGCCAAACUUACCUUUCUGCAGUCCAUGUCCCCAGAGUGGGUACCUCUCUAGCAGCCAUGUCGGUCUAGACCAACCCUUUGUGAUCCCUUUGGCAAACACUUAUCUCCAAAAGUAUUUACAUUAUGACCCAUAACAGUAGCAAGAUUACAGUUAUAAAGUAGCAAUGAAAAUAAUGUUAUGUAUGGGGAGGGUCACAUAAGGAGCUGUAUUAAAGGGUCACAGCAUUAGGAAAGUUGAGCAUCAUUGGCCUGGGAUGGGGCAAGAUGGAGACAAGGUGAUUAUCAGCUGUGUCUAUUGGCAAGCAUCUUUGUGUACAUCUGUCAUAGUAUAGAUUGUAGCCACCCACUGAAUGGCUGGCUUUACCCCAAUGCCCCAUAGUGACUUGAAAUCUUCCUAAGGCUGUUGAUUGAACCAGCCUCCUCAGUUUUGCAUUGCACCAGGGCUUGGAAAGGUACACAGUCUGUAGGGAUGGGGUAUCUUUUCCUGACUCUUUAUAGUCCAUACUUAUAAAGAGAACAUAAUUAUGAAUAUAAAGUGGAUAAAAUGCAGCAAUGAAAACUGCAGGACUCAUAAUAGGUACCCAGCUCUCCGGGGCCAUCAGAAGAGGAACCAUUGCCCUAGGCUCUGGAACUUUGCCUACAUUUGAUCUGGAGUCAAAGCCCUAGUUCUUCUCUGUUAGAAUCCUAGAAAUGUUCCUAAACUGAGACGAGAAUUACCCAGGCCAUGUGCCACAGGUGCUCCACAUACUCUUACCUUGCCUUUGAGACGUUCCUCACUCCCAUCCCUACCUGAGCCACAGUGAGAUUCCUGCCCUCCUGCCAACUCACUGCUCCCCAAGGAAGCUGCAAAGGCAUGCUAACCUACAAGGCACCAAGUAAACUUCCUCACCCCUCAUGGUCAUCUACACAUUGAGCCCCCUCCCUUCCCUGAUCUUGAGCAACUGGUUAGAUAACUUAUGUGAUCAAACAGGUUUCCCUCAUUAAAUCUUAAAAUAAACCUGACUCCUUAG
Molecule: long non-coding RNA, 1643 nt
Filed under: Mus musculus (house mouse)
Lineage: Eukaryota; Metazoa; Chordata; Mammalia; Rodentia; Muridae
Description: long non-coding RNA chr5:108434370-108436013
Source: RNAcentral